Molecule: long non-coding RNA, 1720 nt
Organism: Capsella rubella
Lineage: Eukaryota; Viridiplantae; Streptophyta; Magnoliopsida; Brassicales; Brassicaceae
Exons: 8
Source: RefSeq, a predicted model, not a curated record
CCCCCCCCCAUCUUUUUAAGAGCUUUGAAACUCAUGACUGGAAGAAGCGUUUGGAGUCAAUGGAAAAGCUUUAAACCAACUUCUAGAAGAGGUUAUUAAACAUAGCCAACCAAAUGGAAUUGAUUCCUUAAAUUGUAAUAGCCCUAACAGAUGAGAAAAUGACAACAGAAGGACGUAAAGAUCUUUAUCGUUGCAUGAAAAAAUAGCUUGGUAGCGACUAUGUGGAUGCUAUAUAUACAUCCACUCAAACCUGCAAACAAUGAUGGUUCAGAUUAGUAGUCAGUGGAUAGAGACAGGUGAUCUGAGAGUUAGUGGACUAGAAACGAUUGAAAAGAAUAUCAAAAGAUAUCUAAAGCCAACACUAGUACUUAUGCUUUAAAAGAACCAUUUGAAUCAUCAAAGAAUGUCGAAAGGUGUUUCAAAGACUUCAAAAUAGAUUUUUAGUGGUCGUACCUUGAAGCAAGAAAACAGAACACUUCACCACUUCAAGAUGCAAGGGAUUUGAAGUUGACGUAUGGAAAUGUACAAUACUUCAUUUUAAGUUACACAGGUCGCAAACGCAAUCCGUAAUCUAGAAAGGAAGAGUCAGGUGGUAAAAUCUCUCUAUCUCUCUUCUCAAAGUAAAAAGUUAACACAAACAAAACUGAUCACACUCAAACUUAAAAACUUCGCAUGCCCAAGAAACAAAUAAUACUCGAUAAAAACUCCACACACCAAAAAUUUCACAUCCCACGAAAACACAAACACAAACUUCACAUGCCACGAAACAUAAACACGAAAACUUCACAUGCCACAAAACACUAACGCAAAAACUUCACUUGCCACGAAACACAAACGCAAAAACUUCACAAUCCACGAAACACAAAUGCAAAAACUUCACAUUCCACGAAACACAAACAAAAAAAUUUCACAUGCCACAAAACACAAACAAAAAAAUUUCACAUGCCACGAAACACAAAACUUAAAAAUUUCACAUCCCACGAAACACAAACACGAAAACUUCGCAUGCCAUGAAACACAAACACAAAAAUUUCACAUGCCACAAAACACAAACACAUAAACUUAACAUGCCACGAAACACAAACACAAAUAUCGCAAAUACUCCGCAAACUAAGCACUUCACUACCACGAAGCACAACAAAAAACUCGACAAAACCCAACAAAUUCACGAUCAAACACAAACACAAAUAUCGCAAAUACUCCGCAAACUAAGCACUUCACUACCACGAAAGACAACAAAAAACUCGACAAAACCCAACAAAUUCACGAUCAUCUGGAACAAGAGUUAAUCAUGGAUAUUUUUCUUUCCAUGACAAGUAUUUUUAUGGAUAUAAUGUUUCUAUAUUACAAGAGUUUAAUGCUGUCCAUUUAUAAUGUCAGUAACAAUUCAUAUAAUUUAUGCAUGAUUUUUAAUGUUAUCUAUUUGCUCAUUUUUUAUUAUUAAAUUUUGUUAUAUUUACUGUUUAAAAGUUGCAAAUGUAUCAAGAUCAUUUUGAUACACAUUUUUACUCCAUACAAAAUUUCACAUUAUUAUUUUCUUUUUCUCAAUGUGGUUAAGCGCAGUGUGUAACACUGUUUUGUACUUUUUCUUUUGCUUUUGGUUAUUUUUGUUAAUUAAAACAGACGUUAGUUUUGUAAUUUUCUUUAUGUUAAAAAUCAUUUUUGGGGAUGUAAGAUUUUAUCAGUUGUCGUUGUUGUUAUAUAAUGUGAUAUUUUAUUA